RNAcentral lists this ribosomal RNA (2178 nucleotides) under Chiloscyllium punctatum (brownbanded bambooshark). Its description in RNAcentral is "eukaryotic LSU rRNA". The stretch from base 1040 to 2178 matches the Rfam family "Eukaryotic large subunit ribosomal RNA", at positions 1891 to 3141 of the family's 3401-position model. Lineage: Eukaryota; Metazoa; Chordata; Chondrichthyes; Orectolobiformes; Hemiscylliidae. The record is from RNAcentral.
AGCGGAGAAAAUGCAUAAAUGGAGUAAAUUGAAGGUUAUGGAAAAGAUCUGGAAUCCUAACAUUAAUCGACAAUUGGAUGAAGCAGAUACCAUCAUAGAAGCUAGUGAAGAUGGGAUGAAGGAGUUUGCGAGUACUAACUAUGCAAACUGGAGGAGAUCUGUGGAGAUACAGAGAUGGAUGGCCCUCCCCUGUCAAGGGGAAGGUGUGCAUUAUUAUAAGAAUGAUAGUGCAUCAAAUAAUUGGUUGACAAAAUUAUCUUUUAUGAAGAAGUUGAAAGUCAUUAAUUCGAUUUUGUUGCGAACUAAUUUAUUUCCAACGCGGGCGUCUUUGUCUUAUGGCAGGCCUUUUAACAUUAAGAAUUGCAGCAGAUGUAAUGACAUUUCGGAAACUUUCGUGCAUAUUUCUGGAUGGUGCCCUUACGUCAAGAAAAUGAGAUUUAAAAGGGACAAUAGGUUAGCUGAAGAACUAGUUAGUUUUAUUAGGAAAAACGGGUGGACUAUAUAUAUAGAGCCGCGAGUUAAAGAUACGUCCGGAAAACUGUGGAUCCUGGACUUAAUCUUUAAGAAGGAACAACAAAUCGUGAUGGUGUACGUGACAGUCAGAACGGGCCUUCAAAUAAACUCCCUCGAAUUGGCUUGGGAGGAGAAGAUAAAGAAAUAUAGUCACUUAGGUAAAGAGAUAAUGGACCUCAUUGGUGGAGGAAAGAUAUCUUUUUAUGAGUUUGUGCUGGGAGCUCGAGGGUAGUGGUUUGAGAAGAAUUCGGCGUUGAAAGGCCUCGGGAUUGCAAAAUUUAAAUCAUUUGCACAAAAUAUCACAAACCUAACUUUAUCUUUGGCCCUCGAACUUUUAAAGAUUUUCAUGGACUCUUAAUAUCGCCGAUCAACGUAUUUUAUUAAAUAGUUUAAAUAGUGUGGUUUUAAAUUUUUUUAUACAUGUUUUACUGGUUUAAAUAGUAUUUUGAAUAGUUUUAAUCGCUAAUUUUAAUUUAGAGUUAAAUUUUAAGAUUUUAUGAAUAAAAUUGUACUGUUUUCGAUCACUUAGGUUAAUUGGUGGUGGGUAAUUUUAGGUGUUAAUUCAUUAAAGUGCACACUACACGCAACAAGGGAUGAGUGGUAACAUUGUCCAACGGUUGAUAACCUUAGCUCAUCCCUCGCCUCGCUGAAACUCUGCUUCACAACGUCUUUUAGACUUUGAACUUUUUUUAUUUUCUUUUACCGUCUCCUUUUAGAUCUUCUGACUGUAGUUUCGCUGCAUACGGGUAUUUCAAUUGUCGACGAGCGACAUUAAAAUCUCGGAAAGACAUGAUUCAUCGCGUAUGGUGAGUGCAUCAAAUAGGCAAAUGCCUAGUGACGCACAUGAAUGGAUGAACGAGAUUCCCACUGUCCCUACCUACUAUCUAGCGAAACCACAGCCAAGGGAACGGGCUUGGCAGAAAAAGCGGGGAAAGAAGACCCUAUUGAGCUUGACUCUAGUCUGGCACUGUGAAGAGACAUGAGAGGUAUAGAAUAAGUGGGAGGCUUCGGCCGCUGGUGAAAUACCACUACUCUUAUCGUUUUUUCACUUACCCGGUGAGGCGAGCCCUAAGGGGCUCUCGUUUCUGGUCGGAAGCGCCCAGGCGUGACCUGCUCCGGGGACCGUGGCAGGUGGGGAGUUUGACUGGGGCGGUAUACCUGUCACACCAUAAUGCAGGUAUCCUAAGGUGAGCUCAGGGAGGACAGAAACCUCCUGUGGAGCAGAAGGGCAAAAGCUCGCUUGAUCUUGAUUUUCAGUACGAGUACAGACCAUGAAAGCGGGGCCUCACGAUCCUUCUGCCCUUUCGGGUUUUAAGCAGGAGGUGUUAGAAAAGUUACCACAGGGAUAACUGGCUUGUAGCAGCCAAGCGUUCAUAGCGAUGUCGCUUUUUGUUCCUUCGAUGUUGGCUCUUCCUUCCUAUCAUUGUGAAGCAGAAUUCACCAAGCGUUGGAUUGUUCACCCACUAAUAGGGAACGUGAGCUGGUUUUAGACUGUCGUGAGACAGGUUAGUUUUACCCUACUGAUGUUGUGUUGUUGCAAUAGUAAUCCUGCUGAGUACGAGAGGAACCGCAGUUUCAGACAUUUGGUGUAUGUGCUUGGCUGAGGAGCCAAUGGUGCGUAGCUACCAUCUGUGGGAUUAUGACUGAACGCCUCCAAGUCAGAAU